UGUUGAUUACAUUUUAAUUUUAUGGAUUUUUAGAUAAGGUCACACCUCUUGUAUAUGAUAAUUUGGGGGGCGUGACAAAGGUGGUAUCGGAGCAUGAUUUAAGGAUUACUAAGAUAUUUGAUUCAUUUGAUGUUCAAAAUUAAAUUGAGGUUUAGUAAAUUAUAUAGAGAUCGAUGAAAAUUAUAUUUGAUGUCUUCUUGGAAUCUAUGAUGACAUCGACAUUUGGUCUUCUUGUAUAUGAAUUGUGGAUUAUGGGUGUGAAUUAUGACUUGAACGAUUUUUGGUGUCCCCAAAUUUAGUUUGUAUUUUGUAUUAGAUUGUUGAUUAAAUUUUAAUAUUAUGGAUUUUAAGACAGGGUCACACCUCCUAAAUGUGAUAAUUCGGGGGGCGUGACAGAGGUGGUAUCAGAACAUUAUUUGAGGAUCACAGUAAGAUAUUUGAUAUAUUUGAUGUGCCAAAUUAUAUUACGAUUUAGUAAAUUAAAUAGAGAGCUAUAAAAAAUUUCUUUGAUAUCUUUUAGGAACCUAGGAUUCUAAGGACAUCUGGUCCUCUUGAGGAAUGAAGUCGGAAAGGUAAUGAAAUCGAAUUUUUAAAUUUUAGAGGAUGGCUUAUUGCGAUUUGGGAUAGAGUGUGUGUUCGAAAUGACCCAAAUUAUGAUUUGAAUAUUAAGAGGAAAUGGCAUGACUCAAUGAUAUCGAUGACUCAUUCAAUAAAUUUAGAAAGGGCAACUAUGAGAAAGGUGGUAUCGGAGCAUGAUUUAAGGAUUACUAAUAUAUUUGAUUCAUUUGAUGUGCAAAAUGAUAUUGAGGUUUAGUAAAAGACAUCUGGUCCUUUUGAGGAAUGAAGUAGGAAAGGUAGUGAAGUCGAAAUUUUAAAUUUUCGAGGAUGGCUUAUUGAGAUUUGGGAUUGAGUGUGUUUUCGAUCUAACCCAAAUUAUAAUUUGAAUAUUAUCAUAAAAGGGUAUGAAUUAAUGAUAUUGAUGGCCUCUAUCUAUGUGCAAUCUGAUCUCUUUCAAUAAAUUUAGAAAUGGUAUCUAAGGGAUACACAUUUAAUCUACUUGAGGAUUGAACUAGAAAAUUGAUUGAAGUCGAAUUUUUAAAUUUUGGACGAUGGCAUUUUGUGUUUUGGGAAAGAGUUUGUGUUCUAAAUGAUCAAAUUAUCAAUAACCAAAUCCUGAAGCAAAGUCAUAAUUCAAAGUAUGUGAUAAUUUGUAUUAUGGAGUUUUAGACAAGGUCACACUUCUUGUAUAUAAUAAUUUGGGGGGCUUGUCAAAAGUGGUAUCGGAGCAUGAUUUAAGAAUUACUAAGAUAUUUGAUUCAUUUUAUGUGAAAAAUUAUAUUGAGGUUUAGUAAAGACAUCUGGUCUUCAUGAGGAAUGAAGUAGGAAAGGUAGUGAAGUCGAAUUUUUAAAUUUUAGAGGAUGGCUUUUUGAGAUUUGGGAUAGGCUGUGUUUUCGAACUGACCCAAAUUAUGAUUUGAAUAUUAUGAUAAAAGGGCAUGAUUUAAUGAUUUUGAUGGCUCUAUCUAUGUGCAAUCUGAUCUCAUUCAACAAAUUUAGAAAUGGCAACUAUGAGAUCCACAUAUAGUCUACUUGAGGAAUGAAGUAGAAAAGGAAUUUAAGUCGAAUUUUUAAACUUUGGAGGAUGGCCUUUUGAGUUUUGGAAUAGAGUAUGUGUUCUAAAUGAUCCAAUUAUCAAUAACCAAAUCCUGAAGCAGGGUAAUAAUUCAAAGUAUGUGAUAAUACGGAUUAGAUUGUUGAUUACAUUUUUAUUUUAUGGAUUUUAAGAAAAGCUCGCACCUCUUGUAAGUGAUAAUUUAGGGGGCGUGACAAAGGUGUUAUCGGAGCAUGAUUUAAGAUUUACUAAGAUAUUUGAUUCAUUUGAUGUGCAAAAUGAUAUAGAGGUUUAGGAAAGUCAUCUGGUCCUCUUGAGGAAUGAAGUAGGAAAGGUAGUGAAGUCGAAAUUUUAAAUUUUCGAGGAUGGCUUAUUGAGAUUUGGGAUUGAGUGUGUGUUCGAACUGACCCAAAUUAUGAUUUGAAUAGUAUGAUAAAAGGGCAUGACUUAAUGAUAUUGAUGACCUCUUUCUAUGUGCAAUCUGAUCUCUUUCAACAAAUUUAGAAACGGCAUCUAAGGGAUACACAUUUAAUCUACCUGACAAAUGAAGUAGAAAAGGGAUUGAAGUCGAAUUUUUAAAUUUUGGACGAUGGCCUUUUGUGUUUUGGGAUAUAGUAUGUUUUCUAAAUGACCCAAUUAUCAAUAACCAAAUCCUGAAGCAAAGUCAUAAUUCAAAGUAUGUGAUAAUUUGAGGAUCAGAUUGUUGAUUACAUUUUAAUUUUUUUGAUUUUCAGACAAGGUCACACCUCUUGUAUAUGAUAAUUUGGGGGGCGUGACAAAGGUGGUAUCGGAGCAUGAUUUAAGGAUUACUAAGAUAUUUGAUUCAUUUGAUGUUCAAAAUUAUAUUGAGGUUUAGUAAAUUAUAUAGAGAUCGAUGAAAAUUAUAUUUGAUGUCUUCUAGGAAUCUAGGAUGACAUCGACAUUUGGUCUUCUUGCUUAUGAAUUGUGGAUUAUGGGUGUGAAUUAUGACUUGAACGAUUUUUGGUGUCCCCAUAUUUAGUUUGGAUUUUGU
Molecule: long non-coding RNA, 2624 nt
Filed under: Musa acuminata (dwarf banana)
Lineage: Eukaryota; Viridiplantae; Streptophyta; Magnoliopsida; Zingiberales; Musaceae
Description: long non-coding RNA (MACU_LNC004247)
Source: RNAcentral